This 89-nucleotide microRNA precursor is filed under the name Petromyzon marinus (sea lamprey). RNAcentral describes it as "miRNA (ENSPMAG00000011026.1)". Lineage: Eukaryota; Metazoa; Chordata; Hyperoartia; Petromyzontiformes; Petromyzontidae. The record is from RNAcentral.
UGUGUGUGUACGGCUACGCGGGUAAGUCCGUGUUUAUAUAUACACGCGCGCACACACACACGCACAUACACACGCACGCACACACACAC